This 296-nucleotide ribosomal RNA is filed under the name uncultured bacterium. Its description in RNAcentral is "partial 16S ribosomal RNA". It matches the Rfam family "Bacterial small subunit ribosomal RNA", at positions 775 to 1067 of the family's 1533-position model. The record is from RNAcentral.
GGAUUAGAUACCCUGGUAGUCCACGCCCUAAACGAUGUCAACUAGCCGUUGGGUCCCCUUAAUAGGACUUAGUGGCGAAGCUAACGCGUUAAGUUGACCGCCUGGGGAGUACGGCCGCAAGGUUGAAACUCAAAGGAAUUGACGGGGGCCCGCACAAGCGGUGGAGCAUGUGGUUUAAUUCGAUGCAACGCGAAGAACCUUACCAGCCCUUGACAUCCUCGGAACUUAGCAGAGAUGCUUUGGUGCCUUCGGGAACCGAGUGACAGGUGCUGCAUGGCUGUCGUCAGCUCGUGCCG